GCGUCCCCGGUACCGCCCCUCCCCUCGUGCGCUCGCGCUGGUGGAGCCGCGGAGCCGGGUAGGCCUAGCCAGAGCACAACCCAACCGCGCACGUCUAAGCCGACCGGAGCCCCAGCGUGGGGCCUGAGCCCCAGCGGUGAGCGCCAACACAUCUCAACUCCACGAAGUGCAGCUCCUACUAGUGGCUCCCGAGCCUCCUCCAGAAUUGAGAUUGAGUAAUUGGAAAAGGGGCCCCAGCACAGAAACGGACCUUGGACCCCACCCACCGUUGAACCCGCUGAGGACCUCACCUGAUCCAGCCCUUGAAACGGUGCGCGUGCGCCCCCUGGUGUGUGACGAGCGGAUGGCUCCAGCGAUGCCGGGCAAAGGAUUCCUUCCAGAUGACAAACAGGUCAAAAAUGAGUGUCUCAGUCAGUGGUUUUACGCCCCUUGGUAAUUUUGGAGUACUGUGGGGGGAGGUAUUGCAACGCUCGUGCAUUUUUUGGCAUUUUUGCUUCUGUUUCAGAACUUUGAGGGUUCGGCUCCACCCCCAGUUUUUAAAAAGUGUAAUCUUCAGCCAAUUAUGUCCGUGCGUUGCUGACUUAGGAAAAGUCUUUCUACUUGGUGCCCCUGGCCUACACUCCCACACCGGCUACUCUCUCUCCAGUUCUCUUCUAGCGCUCUGCCUUAGGCCUCCCCUUUUUCCUGCUGAGCUGCCUUUUCCUGGACCGAUUCGCCCACCAGCAACCAUGUCUCUGCAGUCUGGGCCUCUCAUCUGAACCCCAGGUCCAUGUAACCGAGACAGAGUUCUGCACUCACUCCCCCCGCCCCGGGGCUGCUCGCCCUCCCUGUUCCCCACUUCUUGUAAUGCCUGGACCGGAAGUGCCAGUCUUUCUCUCCUGCGGUCCCGUCUGCUCCUUGGUGGUCAGUCCUACAGAGGCUGGAGACCACAUGGCUCCGUGAGAGACACGCACAGAGAAGGGAACAGAUUCUGACUUUGAGGUUCUGGGCCACACAAAACCAGUCUGCUCGCAGAAUCUGCUGUGCAUGGUGAUGGGGUAUCGCCCCUUGAGACGUGCUCUACCUCGUGUGGUCCCUUGGCACCAGCUGCACCUAUUUAGAGCCGUCCCUAAGGCUCUGGUCACCCCUGUCUGUAGCCGUGUCUGUCUCCUCUGCUCGCAGAUGUGGGCCCCUUGAAGGCAAGACAGUCUGCCCUGUCUGCUGUCAGCCCCGGGCUGGUGCAGGGGCCUGGCAGGCAAUGGGUGCUUGCCACCUACAGGACAGACAGAUAGCUUCCCUCUCCACAUUCAAGAGACCAUCAGACAGAAAUGCCCAGGUGAGGGCAGGGCUCCCUGGCCAUACCUUAGAGUGUGUCCUGACCUCAGGUUGUGGGUCUGGCCUGUGCUGGAAGUGGGGCUGGUGGUGGGUGCUGGCCUGUGUGCCCGCUCGCCUGGCCUCAGUGGGUAUGGCAAGCCUGUUCCCUCUUCCCAGCGCUGUGGCCUAGGAGACAGAACUCGGUGGGCAGGAGCCAGCAGCCCUGCGAUGGAAGUCAGCAGACCCUCUCCCUGCUGAGCUGACCAGGCUCUUGCUUCAAACCCCAGGGGGACACGGGUCCUCAGACUCUCCAGCCAUCGGUCUCUAGCACCUAGCUUGCCCAUCUUUGGUCCCGUAUGUGGCCAAGUGUUUGCUAAGACAGGGCAGGGGGAUGCCUCUGGGCAGCCUGCCCGGCUCUCAGCAGGCACAGCACCUGGAAGCAGACAAGAGCCAAGGGAAUAAGCCAGAGGCCAGGCCGCAGGGCCACAGGACAAGGACCUCAGGUGGCCGGGCCCGGGAGGGUGUGAACACGCCUGAAGGAGCAGAGCCACGGCUCUGUCCAGAUGGCCAGACUCCGAGCGCCAGGUCCGUGUGGGGCCGCCCUGCCGCCCUGCUCCUGUGCCUGGCGGGCAGGGAUGUCCUUGUGCUCAUGUGUGAAGGCCGAGUGGCACCACGUGGCAGCUCUGUGUCUGCUGUGCCCGGGCCCCAGGGCGCUGGGUGCGGGGAGAGCAGCUGUCAGCUUCCACUCACUGUUCACUCUCGGGCCAGGGCCUGGGCCCCCGGACACUCUCCUCAAACUCGUGCCAUCAGUCCCUCUCUUCAUCUCGCAGUUGCUUUAAAUUGAAUUAUGUUCAGCUGAAGUCUCCGCCCCACCCUCGCCCCCCAUCAGCAGAUUGGCCUUUCACUGAAGCGCCGCUCACCUCGCCCCAGCCAGCCGAGAGCUCCAGGGGCCUGCACGGCCACGGGGGAGGUCAGUCUGAGGGCCACUGCCUUGUGGGGAAAGGCACAAGUAUUUUGAGGUCACUGUUUCUGCUGCAGACAUCACCUUGGCCUGCAGCUGCGAGGCCUCACCUGGGCAGCCUGGUGCUCCUGGCCCCGCUCUUACAAGUGGGGCCCCGCCCCAGGCCCCCGAGAGCCACAGCUCUCAGUCUUGGGUGUGGCUGGUCACCCCCAGCCCCUUUCUAGAGAGAGGAGUGGGAGAGAAAAGGCCCGUCCUCCAUGGAAAGCCAAUGCCCCAAGGCAAGGGAUGGUCGCCUUCUUGGAGACGCCAGGACCCCCAAACAGCCCGUGUGCCUCCUGGGGUAUGGGGUCGGGAGGGAAGAGGCCCAGGCCUUAGAGCACAAAAUCCUGGCUGAUGCCUCCCGUCCCUUCCUGGUGGGAUCUGGAGUUCAUCUCUCCGCACAUCACUGCGUGGUGACCUCCCCUCGUGCUCCUCUGAGAAAGCAGGAGCCAUUGCGAAGGACUGCCCCAUGUCCCCACUACCAAAUCCACACCCCAUGCACACCUGCUCCUCCCCAUGCCCCCCUCCCUGCCGUCUAGCGGACGGUGCCCCCAGCCCCUGCUCAGGAGGCUCUGGCUCCUCCGGGGCCCUGCUCUCUGCUCCUGUGCUGUCUGCUGCAUCCCCUGCACUGUGUCGUCGUCACCUGGUCACAGUCACGGCCACGCAUCCCAGGUCCUCACCAAAGACCCCCUGCCUUGAGCCCAGGCCCCCUCCGGAGGGGGACAGGCUGGAAUGUUUCUCUGCCAUCUUCCACAACAGCCCCAGGAGCAGUCUCUAGACGCUGCCUGCGCCCUGCCACCUCCUGCUCCCAUCUGGCUCCCAGGAGCAACACUGCACUGAAAUCGCGCUGCCUGCGACACUGUCCGCCUUCGUUGUCCUGAGCCCAGUGGCCACACCUCUGUGGUCAGCUUAGCGAACCCGUCAGCUGCCUUGGCUGCCUCCUGCCGCCAGCCUGGGCGACUUCAGCACCAUGCGGCCGGCCUGCCCGUUGUCCUCCUCGCCACAAGGGCCUUCUUCUACUGGCCACCUGUGCUCUCCCCCGCACCCCCACGCACUGAACCCUGACCUCAUCCCAGACUGCACGUGUCUGCUCCUGCCCUCUCCCCCCGCCCCUGUCCUGCUGCGUGAAGAGGGCCCGGCCUCACCAGCAUUUCUGCUGUUGGUGGUCUCCUUUCUUCUCUUUGCUCCCUGUCCUUAGAUGGCAAGACCCACAUUAAAAAAAUCUUUUAUUUAUUUUUAUUUAUUUGAAAGGCAGAGCAAUGAAAAGGUCUUCCAUCCGCUGGUUCACUCCCCAGAUGGCCACAAUGGCUGGAGCUGCACCGAUCUGAGGCCAGGAGCCAGGAGAUUCUUCCAGGUCUCCCACGCGGGUGCAGGGGCCCAAGGACUUGGGCCAUCUUCUACUGCUUUCCCAGGCCAUAGCAGAGAGCUGGAUCAGAAGUGGAGCAGCUGGGACUUAAACUGGCGCCCAUGUGGGAUGCCGGCACUGCAGGCGGCGGCUUUACCUGCUAUGCCACAGCGCCGUCCCUCCCUAGCAGCUUUCUUCAUGGAGCGGUCCUGUCUGCCACUGUGGCAGUCCUGUUCAUGUGGCCCAGUGUGCAGUGCGUCUGGCUUUUAUAACCCACCCGAUUCCCCAGAGAUGGAUGCUAUGAUCUCCAUGUCUCGGAAUUUGAGAGCUGUUUCGUUCAGAGUUCAUCUUAGCAGACCUCUUGGUCACCACAGUCUUAAAACCUGGUCCCUUGGGCUCCUCUGACCCUAUUCUCUCUGGCUCAGUCUCCUGGGCAGGGGCCUCCCCCUUCCUCACUGGUCUAUGCUCCAGUUCCCAGGCCCCUUCCCCACUCACUGUGGACCCCUCCCUGGUGACCUCAUCCAUGCCUGCAGAUUCAGUUACCGUCCACCUGUGGGUGAGUAGCCCCAGCCUGGGGAGCCUCCUGACCACGAGGAGCCUCACCAACUGCCAGCCAGUCCCCUCCUCAGUGCACGUGGCUCCAAUGCGGCCAAGACCUAAAUGGUGAUGUCCGCUCCUGACACCUGUGCAGUGUCCCCUGUCUCAGUAAGUGGCUCCGUUGUGCAGGUGAUGGAUCAGCCAGAAUCCUGGCAGCCAUCACCAAGUCCUGCUAAUUUUACCUCCAAGACCCUCUCUCAUCUACCCGCUUCUCUUCAGCUCCACUGGUAACCCAGUGGUCCGAGCCACCCCUAGAGCUUGACGGGGGCGCCUAACUGAUGUCGCUGCCUCUGCUCUGCCCCUCUGCAGCCUCAUCUCUGUGCUGCAGCCUUGAGUGGCAUCACGUCUCUGCCCCAUUCAAACUUUCUAAUGACUUCCCAUUGGUCCUAGCCAAAGAACCAACCCCUUCUCAUGUACGAAGCGCCCUCUCGUGGCCUGCUUCCUAGUCCCAUGCAGUGUCAUACUCCCCUCUGCCUCUGCUCUGCUACACCAGGGUCCCUUCUGGUCCUCGGACGCACUGUCUCUCCACACUGUGCCCCACGCCUGCAGCUACCAGGCCUUUGCACAUUCUUCCCAGAAGACUUUCCCGGGCCCUUCACCCUUUAGAUCAUUCUUCACUCUUGGCUCAAGUGUCCCUUUCUUGGGGCAGCCUUUGCUGACCCUUGGUCAGGAUCAGGGUUGGUUGUUAGCCAUUCUCAGAGAGCCUUGUCGCUUCCUGCCCAAACAUUCA
This is a non-coding RNA of Oryctolagus cuniculus (rabbit), 4965 nucleotides long. The record is from RefSeq and is a predicted model, not a curated record. NCBI's taxonomy places the organism in Eukaryota, Metazoa, Chordata, Mammalia, Lagomorpha, Leporidae.